This 329-nucleotide unclassified non-coding RNA is filed under the name soil metagenome. RNAcentral describes it as "partial contains 5.8S ribosomal RNA, internal transcribed spacer 2, and large subunit ribosomal RNA". The stretch from base 1 to 120 matches the Rfam family "5.8S ribosomal RNA", at positions 35 to 154 of the family's 154-position model. The record is from RNAcentral.
GAUGAAGAACGUAGCGAAAUGCGAUAAGUAAUGUGAAUUGCAGAAUUCAGUGAAUCAUCGAAUCUUUGAACGCACAUUGCGCCCUCUGGUAUUCCGGGGGGCAUGCCUGUUCGAGCGUCCUUAUAACCACUCAAGCUCUCGCUUGGUAUUGGGGUUCGCGGUUCCGCGGCCCCUAAAAUCAGUGGCGGUGCCUGUCGGCUCUACGCGUAGUAAUACUCCUCGCGAUUGAGUCCGGUAGGUCUACUUGCCAGCAACCCCCAAUUUUUACAGGUUGACCUCGGAUCAGGUAGGGAUACCCGCUGAACUUAAGCAUAUCAAUAAGCGGAGGA